RNAcentral lists this ribosomal RNA (119 nucleotides) under Triticum aestivum (bread wheat). Lineage: Eukaryota; Viridiplantae; Streptophyta; Magnoliopsida; Poales; Poaceae. The record is from RNAcentral.
GGAUGCGAUCAUACCAGCACUAAAGCACCGGAUCCCAUCAGAACUCCGAAGUUAAGCGUGCUUGGGUGAGAGUAGUACUAGGAUGGGUGACCUCCUGGGAAGUCCUCGUGUUGCAUUNN